GACGAACGCUGGCGGCGUGCCUAAUACAUGCAAGUCGAACGCAGUUGCGAACGGGGGAGUGAAGCGUAGGUAACUGCCUGGUAGCGGGGGAUAACUAUUGGAAACGAUAGCUAAUAACGCAUACUACCAGAUGGACCUGCGUUGUAUUAGCUAGUUGGUGGGGUAUCGGCUAACCAAGGCGACGAUACAUAGCCGACCUGGGAGGGUGAUCGGCGCCACUGGGACUGUGACGCGGGCCAGACUCCUACGGGAGGCAGCAGUAGGGAAUCUUCGGGAAUGGACGGAAGUCUGACCGAGCAACGCCGCGGGAGUGAAGAAGGUUUUCGGGUCGUAAAGCUCUUUUGUAAGAGAAGCGGUAUCUUACCAGAAAGGGCCGGCUAACUACGUGCCAGCAGCCGCGGUAAUAC
This 407-nucleotide ribosomal RNA is filed under the name uncultured bacterium. RNAcentral's name for it is "partial 16S ribosomal RNA". It matches the Rfam family "Bacterial small subunit ribosomal RNA", at positions 28 to 526 of the family's 1533-position model. The record is from RNAcentral.